Molecule: long non-coding RNA, 268 nt
Filed under: Mytilus galloprovincialis (Mediterranean mussel)
Lineage: Eukaryota; Metazoa; Mollusca; Bivalvia; Mytilida; Mytilidae
Source: RNAcentral
CUGGAAAUGGAGAAUAUGAAAUGAUACAAUAACCCGACUAAAAUCUCACAGCCGGACGCAGACUUCAGCUGACCCGUAAACAAUAAUAAUGUAUAUUACUUCAGCGAAAUUUGCGCCAAAAAACAUCGAAAAUAUUAAAUGCGCAAACAAUUAAAAUAAAAUCAAGACAAACACAGGCUAGAUGUUCCUGAUUUGGUACAUGCGCAAACAUAAGACGCGGGAUUAAACAUGAUUUACGAGAUCUCAACCCUCCCCAGUCCUAUAAACC